Molecule: long non-coding RNA, 429 nt
Organism: Diospyros lotus (date-plum)
Lineage: Eukaryota; Viridiplantae; Streptophyta; Magnoliopsida; Ericales; Ebenaceae
Exons: 3
Source: RefSeq, a predicted model, not a curated record
CCAAGUUACGUUGAUAUUACUUUUAGAGAGAAAUAAGGUCUUGAUUGUGAGGAGGAAGUUCUGUAAAAAGAAGGAGAGGAAGUCGUUGGAAAAUAAGAGAGGAAACGAAGAAGAGGCAAAGGCUUGACGGAAAACGGACAGCUGCAAGUAUCGGCUGUAACAGUCCACAAAUCAGAGAGAAAUACAAACCCAGUAAGGUGUGAAGCCUUAAACAUUCAAAUCUUGUCCAACCAAGUUGAGGUGAUUAUGAAUGAGGAGAUCGGAACGUGGACGUGGAGUGUGGUGGAUAUUUGAAGAUAACUUUUAAUAGUCAGAAUGAUGUUUUGUAAUAUUUUCGAUAUUACACUCUUAUGAUAUAUGUAUAGGAUUGCUACACCAUAUGUUCUUAAAGCUUAUUUAAGCUUAUGAAAAGAGCCAAGUCUCAUUUUA